UCCAGAGACUGCAAGCGUUAUUCGGAUUCACUGGGCGUAAAGGGUGCGCAGGCGGCCGUGUGUGUGAGGCGUGAAAGCCCGGGGCUUAACCCCGGAAUUGCACCUCAAACUACAUGGCUAGAGCAUUGGAGAGGGUAGCAGAAUUCAUGGUGUAGCAGUGAAAUGCGUAGAUAUCAUGAGGAAUACCAGAGGCGAAGGCGGCUACCUGGACAAUUGCUGACGCUCAGGCACGAAAGCGUGGGGAGCAAAAGGG
RNAcentral lists this ribosomal RNA (253 nucleotides) under uncultured bacterium. RNAcentral describes it as "partial 16S ribosomal RNA". It matches the Rfam family "Bacterial small subunit ribosomal RNA", at positions 524 to 776 of the family's 1533-position model. The record is from RNAcentral.